Molecule: long non-coding RNA, 2880 nt
Organism: Pristis pectinata (smalltooth sawfish)
Lineage: Eukaryota; Metazoa; Chordata; Chondrichthyes; Rhinopristiformes; Pristidae
Exons: 4
Source: RefSeq, a predicted model, not a curated record
CAGCAACCGAGGCCCUCAGGCUGAUGGACAAGGACAGGUUGCGAAUGAGACGUAGUCUGGGUACCCCGGUGAAGCGGGGCUUCUCAUUCAAAACAUCAAAGCAGUCAGUGUUUUUGCAGUGUUUGUUCGUUCCCACUUGUGUGCCUGUGCAUUGAGAUGCAGAAGUUGGAGAUGAAGUGGAGGUCAGAUGCUGGCGUAGCAAACCUCCUGCUUUGCUGUUGGACUUGCUGCUGAAUCCCAACAGCAGAGCAUGGAUGCACUAAACAAAGCGGCUGAAUACCAGUGCUGACUAGUGUAGGGAUCAAUAUUUGAGCUUUUAAAAAAAAGUGCUGGAGGAAGACUAUACCAAGACAAAGCAGAUAGCCCAGGCAACUAAAAGUGUCGUUAAAUUUCAUUACCACUGUCUGAUGUGAUGAAGCAGGAUGAUACUGUCAAUCAAACUGAUUGCCACUGAGAGCUGAAUGCAAUAUGGAAGGAAAGUAGAUUGUGGAUCCAUUCAUUGAAGGAUUUCAAAAGCACAGGCUCUUCCUGAAUGAUCUGGAACUUGAAAAGACUAACUGGGAAAUCUCUAUCACACACUAAAAUGAUGCCUUCCUAACAGACUUUUGUGUAAUCUUUGGAAGGUCAGAAUGGAUUAAGAUUCCAACAUGUUCUUCUCAACCCAACUGUUCACCAGAUGUCAUCCAUCUGCUUCAAUAAAUGAGAAAAGAACACAAGCCCAUAAACUGUAAUAUGUUAAUUGGUAGUUGGUGUUUGAGUAGUCUGCAAUGCAGCUGCAUCAACGUCUUUGUUCACCUUUUCUCUAUUUAAAACAUUUCUUUGUCCACUUCUGAGAAAGGUGUCGCCAAAAAUGUUUCUGAAACCAUGGUCUUCUCUGGUCAUUGCAUUCAAUUUUGAUACAACAAUCACACUGUGUUCUGAAAAUUCUCCUUCCAUAUUAAGACACCUUAAAAUAUUACUAUAGUGUGCAAUCAAGUUUUAAACUGGUGUAUAAAUAGUAAAUUAUAUUUAACAUAAGAACAUAAGAAAUAGGAGCAAGAGUAGGCCAUCUGGCCCGUCAAGCCUGCUCCACCAUUCAAUAAGAUCAUGGCUGAUCUGGCCGUGGACUCAGCUCUACCUACCUGCCUUUUCCCCAUAACCCUUAAUUCCCCUACUAUGCAAAAAUCUAUCUGUGUCUUAAAUAUAUGUAAUGAGGUAGCCUCCACUGCUUCCCUGGGCAGAGCAUUCCACAGGUUCACAACUCUCUGGGAAAGGUAGUUUCUCCUCAUCUCCGUCCUAAAUCUACUCCCCUGAAUCUUGAGGCUAUGUUCCCUAGUUUUAGUCUCACCUGCCAGUGGAAACAAUCUUCCUGCCUCUAUCAUUCUGAUUACAAAAUAAGAAUUAGUAGUCCGACCAUACAACAGCUGAUUUUUGUGUACCCUCUGGUCCUUUGCCAAUAUCUUUCCAUUGUAUUUGAGGUAGCAGCCAAGAGAAAGGAGUGGGGAUGUAAAGAGUGGCAGAAGAGCAGUGGCGGAGCCGGAGAUGAACAAGACUGCCAGGGACAUAAUAAUCAGCAAGAGAAAGUUGAACAGUAAUAUAAGGAGCCAUGAAAGAAUGGCCUUGUUAUUGAAAAAAAACUUUAGAGUUAGGAUAAUCCUAAUACAGAACUUCCACAGAUAAAAAUCUCAAAAUCGUUAACUGAGGUACACUUGUUGGGUCAACUGAUGAGAGAGUUACAUGCUUGGCUCAAAGAAUGUGUGCAGGACAAGAGAAUCAAUUCAUAGGACAUUGAUGUCGGUUCUGGAGAAAGGGGGAGUUGUUCCAUUGGGAUGAAUGCUGCUUAAACUGAACUGGGACCAAUGUCCUGGCCAAUCAAAUGACAAGGGCUUUAAACCAACAAUGAUAAUCUGGGGGAUUCAGGUGAGGGAAAGUUUAUAAACUUAAAACGUCAAGAUCACAGAGCAAAUUAACAAUCUGCAUGACAAUAAGCAGAGCUUGACCAGAAGAGACAGUGAGUAACGGAAAAGCUUGUAGCAAUCAUGUCUUCCUUUCAGUCUUUAGGCCAGGGCAAUAAUUAAACCAAGACCUGGAAAAAUAUGUAUAUUACUUUAAUAACAUUUUAACUUUAACUAGGUAAACUAGUUAGUUAAUAAAACAAAUCUAUUGUGAAUAAAAAUCUUACCUAAUAAAAUAUAUAAACAAGGUUUGCAAGGGAAAUGGUGUGUGGAGUUAGUGGAGCCCAGCACUGAGUGAGUAAAUCUGCAUCUUGAGAAACUUCAGUUUAGAACUGUUGACCUGGCCUCUGAGCAGCAAACUGCAAUUCAUUAGUGAGGGCUUAGAGUUUGAGCCUGAAGGCUUACACAUCUGUUAGGUUAGAAAAAAGUGUGGAUUUGGUUAGUGGUCAAGGAGAGGAGAACAGAAUUUUACAGAUAUAUUUUAUAAACGUGAAGAGAAAAGUUAAGACCAUGGACUAGUGUAAGCAGGACAGGGUAAUGAGUGUAAGGUGCAAUGGUUCAUCAGUGAGCUCAUAAGAGGUCAUAAUGUGAUAGAGACACAAGAGACUGCAGUCUUGACCUGAAAUGUCAACUAUUUUCCUCCGCAGAUGCUGCCUGACCCAGAGUUCCUCCAGCAGUUUGUAUUUUUGCUCAUUAUAUGAUAUUUUUAAUGUUCAUGAUUGGUGUACUUCAGUACAAAACUAGAGCUUUGUGUUAAAUAAAAUGUUGAAGUCACAUAGGUAUGGAGUAAUUUUGUUAUGGUACAUCCGGAAACUAGAUUAAAAGCCAUGUUGGUAUGUAAAAAAAAAGAAAUACUGGAAGAACUAAGCCAGUCAAGCAGUAUCUGUGGAAAGAGAACAUUUCAGGGCAAAGACCCUCAGAAUUGGGGGAAGAGCAGAUGGGUGUC